UACAGAGGGUGCAAGCGUUGUUCGGAAUUACUGGGCGUAAAGGGCUCGUAGGCGGCCAACUAAGUCGGACGUGAAAUCCCCAGGCUCAACCUGGGAACUGCGUCUGAUACUGGAUGGCUUGAAUCCGGGAGAGGGAUGCAGAAUUCCAGGUGUAGCGGUGAAAUGCGUAGAUAUACGGAGGAACACCUGCGGCGAAGGCGGGUAGCUGGGCCAACACUGACGCUGAAACGCGAAAGCUAGGGUAGCAAACGGG
RNAcentral lists this ribosomal RNA (253 nucleotides) under uncultured bacterium. RNAcentral describes it as "partial 16S ribosomal RNA". It matches the Rfam family "Bacterial small subunit ribosomal RNA", at positions 524 to 776 of the family's 1533-position model. The record is from RNAcentral.